UACGGAGGGUGCAAGCGUUAUCCGGAUUUACUGGGUUUAAAGGGUGCGUAGGUGGGUAGGUAAGUCAGUGGUGAAAUCUUCGAGCUUAACUCGGAAACUGCCAUUGAUACUAUUUAUCUUGAAUACUUUGGAGGUAAGCGGAAUAUGUCAUGUAGCGGUGAAAUGCUUAGAUAUGACAUAGAACACCAAUUGCGAAGGCAGCUUGCUACACAGUUAUUGACACUGAGGCACGAAAGCGUGGGGAUCAAACAGG
Molecule: ribosomal RNA, 253 nt
Filed under: uncultured bacterium
Lineage: Bacteria
Description: partial 16S ribosomal RNA
Rfam family: Bacterial small subunit ribosomal RNA
Source: RNAcentral